Olea europaea var. sylvestris is the source of this 844-nucleotide long non-coding RNA. RefSeq lists it as uncharacterized. The transcript is spliced from 3 exons. The record is from RefSeq and is a predicted model, not a curated record. NCBI's taxonomy places the organism in Eukaryota, Viridiplantae, Streptophyta, Magnoliopsida, Lamiales, Oleaceae.
UUGAUGUCAAAAGUUGCACCUUCAAACAUUGAGCAUGCCUUAGGAUAGGCUUGAUCUUCUCGCAACAAUGGAAUGUCUCAUCAAACCGCAGAUUACCGUAGAAUGUAAAAAGAAUUGUUGCAUACCUUUAAUGAAGGGAUGAUCGUCGUAUUUCACUAUCACUACUCUUUUAAAAGAGAGGAUAGCCAAAUCAGUAUUCAUUUGUGCACACUCCUUUCACGCUUCAACUAGCUGUAUACUAUUCAUAAACUGAUUCAAUACUAUUCACCAAUAAAUAUCCCUCUCCUUUUCACCGAAUAUCUCAAGUACCACAACUCCUUGUAACCACCACAUCUAUUUCUCUUUCUUCUCCAAACAAAAGCAAACCCUUACCUUUCAAUUUGCGAGUAGACACCUUCUUCUUCAACUUCUUUUAGAGAGAGAGAUUCUUGAAAAGGUUCUUGGUGGAAUGAGAAGAAUGACACAAUUAUUAGGAAAACUCAUUACUUGAUCCAUAAGAGGGAAUUCGCUUCCGAGGUUUGUCUAUUCCUGAAUACGAGAAGGUAUUACCUGCAGCAAAGCUUGGUGCAGAACCAAUGUCUGAGGGCCUCCUUUGGUUUCUUUUAACGAGAAAGGUUGAAUUUCAUUGUUAAAUAGAAUGGGGUAUGAAAUAUUGAAUCCUUUAGGAUAGUUCAUACUUUGUUUUUCUAGGUAAAAGCUAUUUUUGAAGGUUGACAUUUGUUAGGCUUUAUGCUUUCAAGUCCCUCUAGGCCCAAUAAUUCAGGUCCCCACAAAAAGAGCAAGAACAUUCAUUAUCAAAGAAAUAGAGAAGUCAUGCUACCAUUCCAGGUCCUUUAACUCUCAA